This 947-nucleotide ribosomal RNA is filed under the name uncultured Pseudomonas sp. Its description in RNAcentral is "bacterial SSU rRNA". It matches the Rfam family "Bacterial small subunit ribosomal RNA", at positions 8 to 953 of the family's 1533-position model. The record is from RNAcentral. Lineage: Bacteria; Pseudomonadati; Pseudomonadota; Gammaproteobacteria; Pseudomonadales; Pseudomonadaceae.
AGGGUUUGAUUAUGGCUCAGAUUGAACGCUGGCGGCAGGCCUAACACAUGCAAGUCGAGCGGUAGAGAGGUGCUUGCACCUCUUGAGAGCGGCGGACGGGUGAGUAAUGCCUAGGAAUCUGCCUGGUAGUGGGGGAUAACGCUCGGAAACGGACGCUAAUACCGCAUACGUCCUACGGGAGAAAGCAGGGGACCUUCGGGCCUUGCGCUAUCAGAUGAGCCUAGGUCGGAUUAGCUAGUUGGUGGGGUAAUGGCUCACCAAGGCGACGAUCCGUAACUGGUCUGAGAGGAUGAUCAGUCACACUGGAACUGAGACACGGUCCAGACUCCUACGGGAGGCAGCAGUGGGGAAUAUUGGACAAUGGGCGAAAGCCUGAUCCAGCCAUGCCGCGUGUGUGAAGAAGGUCUUCGGAUUGUAAAGCACUUUAAGUUGGGAGGAAGGGCAUUAACCUAAUACGUUAGUGUUUUGACGUUACCGACAGAAUAAGCACCGGCUAACUCUGUGCCAGCAGCCGCGGUAAUACAGAGGGUGCAAGCGUUAAUCGGAAUUACUGGGCGUAAAGCGCGCGUAGGUGGUUCGUUAAGUUGGAUGUGAAAUCCCCGGGCUCAACCUGGGAACUGCAUUCAAAACUGUCGAGCUAGAGUAUGGUAGAGGGUGGUGGAAUUUCCUGUGUAGCGGUGAAAUGCGUAGAUAUAGGAAGGAACACCAGUGGCGAAGGCGACCACCUGGACUGAUACUGACACUGAGGUGCGAAAGCGUGGGGAGCAAACAGGAUUAGAUACCCUGGUAGUCCACGCCGUAACGAUGUCAACUAGCCGUUGGGAGCCUUGAGCUCUUAGUGGCGCAGCUAACGCAUUAGUUGACCGCCUGGGGAGUACGGCCGCAAGGUUAAAACUCAAUGAAUUGACGGGGGCCCGCACAAGCGGUGGAGCAUGUGGUUUAAUUCG